This 93-nucleotide transfer RNA is filed under the name Ignavibacteriaceae bacterium. Its description in RNAcentral is "tRNA-Ser". It matches the Rfam family "tRNA". From Rfam's summary of the family: Transfer RNA (tRNA) molecules are approximately 80 nucleotides in length. Their secondary structure includes four short double-helical elements and three loops (D, anti-codon, and T loops). Lineage: Bacteria; Pseudomonadati; Ignavibacteriota; Ignavibacteria; Ignavibacteriales; Ignavibacteriaceae. The record is from RNAcentral.
GGAGAGGUGGGUGAGUGGCUGAAACCAACGGUUUGCUAAACCGUCGUAGGGGGUUAACCUCUACCGAGGGUUCGAAUCCCUCCCUCUCCGCCA